RNAcentral lists this microRNA (22 nucleotides) under Columba livia (rock pigeon). RNAcentral describes it as "cli-miR-9644-5p". Lineage: Eukaryota; Metazoa; Chordata; Aves; Columbiformes; Columbidae. The record is from miRBase by way of RNAcentral.
UGGUGUGGGGUUUGGAUCUCAG